This 329-nucleotide ribosomal RNA is filed under the name uncultured eukaryote. RNAcentral describes it as "partial 18S ribosomal RNA". It matches the Rfam family "Eukaryotic small subunit ribosomal RNA", at positions 1470 to 1796 of the family's 1831-position model. The record is from RNAcentral.
CCCUUAGAUGUCCUGGGCCGCACGCGCGCUACACUGAGUGUCUGAGAUACGAGUCUGCCUGGUCCGGCAAGGUCUAGGUAAUCGCUAAAAGACACAUCAUGCUUGGGAUAGAUUAUUGCAAAUAUUAAUCUUGAACGAGGAAUUCUUAGUAAGCGCAAGUCAACAGCUUGCGUUGAUUACGUCCCUGCCCUUUGUACACACCGCCCGUCGCUACUACUGAUUGGAUGUUUAAGCGAGGUUCUCGAACUGCUAGCGACUUAGCUUCGGUGAGGUCGCAGUGUGGGAAGUGAACCUAGCUUUGGUGUCUAGAGGAAGUAAAAGUCGUAACA